RNAcentral lists this long non-coding RNA (1317 nucleotides) under Dromaius novaehollandiae (emu). RNAcentral's name for it is "lncRNA (ENSDNVG00000012704.1)". Lineage: Eukaryota; Metazoa; Chordata; Aves; Casuariiformes; Dromaiidae. The record is from RNAcentral.
AAAGGACUAGAUGUAACUUGAAAUCACAUAUUAAUAAUUUAGAAGUAUUGGAUGUAAAUUUUGUUCUUCCCUUUUUCUUUCUCUUUGUCAUUCCUGAACUACCAAAAGCAUUUCUAGCAGUGGCAAAGAUAACAGUCAGUGUCUACCCAGAAUCUCGCAUUGUCCCACAGUGCCCAGAAGCUAUAGGACAGACUAGCCAAUGGGAAUGAUAAAUGAUAUUUUUAGCCAUAUUGUGUGAGCUGUUACUCUCACCAAAGCCACUGAGACUGGAAUUCCUUCAUGUUAUAUCUCAGUGCUAUAAAAUAUGGUCUGCCUGAGUGCUAUGAAAGUUCCAGUUUUAUUAUCCAGGCACAACUUUCUGCUUGUCAUCUUUCCUCUAGUCAUGUGAAUUUUCAGCCCACCCAGCUUGACUGAGUGUAAGAAUUUGUCUGGAGGCAUCCUGGGAGAGGCUUUCUUCUGAAACACCUGGUGCUUGCUGCUUUUGCUUGAGCAUCCUAGAAAUUCGGGGAACUUCUUGAUUUCGAAGCUCCUUCCCUCUUUUGUGGCUUCCUGGCAUAAGUGGCCACAGCAAACCACCGUUGGAGAUCCAGGAGUAAUUCUUCACCACAGGCCUAACGGAAAAAGAACUGAGCUUAGUGAUGUCUCACUGCACAGACACAGCAUUUAUCAUGAUGGAAAAGUGUAUACCAUGGAUACAAUCAGAUUUGCUCUGGCCUGUUUCCCAUUCUACAUGCACAGCACUUUGAUCCAUGUUAUAAUGCAGCCUGGAUGGUACUGCUUGGGCAAGAUUUCUUAUACACUUCAACAUUAGAAAAAAGGACAAGCUUCUUAAGAUCUUGGAGCUAUGAGCAACAGCUGGUUUUGUUCUUGUUUCUGCAGCAUUUUCCACAAUUUCCACCAAGAUGGUGAUUUAUAGAAAGACCCGUGUAUUUGUUGAACUCUGGGUUAUUUCAAUUAUGUAGACUCUAGUCAAUAAUCACCAAUUACCUAGCCAAAGUGUGAGAAAUGGUAUUCACUGGCAGAGGCACAAGSUUUUACAAGUGCAUCUGGAGCUGAUAAAAGUAUAAAAAGAUGGUACAUGGAAAUAUAAUACUGUUGGGAACUUUAGCAAUGUAAAGUUUGCAGUUGCUUCGUAUGUUUGUAUGUGAAGGAUAUGGAUUACUUUACGGACAAGGUUCCAAUCUCAGACUUACCCAUGUGAAUCCAGAAUAAUUUUCCUGAGCAUAGCUGGUUCUACAUUCUGGCUCUCUGUUAAUUUGACUAGAGUUAUAAAAUACUUAUGCAUACGAGACUGUGGCUUUUCAUUACAAUUAUACC